CAGGGGGACAUGUGCACGCUCUGUUCACACAUCCACUCACACCAUGUGCACCCUCUGUAGUUCUAUGGUCGGGGGGCCUGUCCUCCUGCUGUGGUUCUGCUUCUUUACACACACACCGUAACAAAGUCUCAUGGAAUGCAUGCCGCGUUUAACGCAAUACAAUACAACUUUCAGCAACGGAUCUCUUGGCUCUCGCAUCGAUGAAGAACGCAGCGAAAUGCGAUAAGUAAUGUGAAUUGCAGAAUUCAGUGAAUCAUCGAAUCUUUGAACGCACCUUGCGCCCUUUGGCCACCCCCAAAGGGCAUGCCUGUUUGAGUAUCAUGAACACCUCAACUCUUCAUGGUUUUCCAUGAUGAGCUUGGACUUUGGGGGUUUUGCUGGCCUUGUGGUCAGCUCCUCUAAAAUGAAUCAGCUUGCCAGUGUUUGGUGGGCAUCACAGGUGUGAUAACUAUCUACGCUUGUGGUUUUCCACCAGGUAACCUUCAGCAGUGGAGGUUCGCUGGAGCUCACAGAUGUCUCUCCUCAGUGAGGACAGCCCUUUGAAUGUUUGAUCUCAAAUCAGGUAGGACUACCCGCUGAACUUA
Molecule: ribosomal RNA, 584 nt
Filed under: uncultured Tomentella
Lineage: Eukaryota; Fungi; Basidiomycota; Agaricomycetes; Thelephorales; Thelephoraceae
Description: eukaryotic LSU rRNA
Rfam family: 5.8S ribosomal RNA (bases 166-321)
Source: RNAcentral